GUGAGGGCGACCUGGCUGGAAAUCUGUCACCCCCAUUGAUCUCCGGGGUUCUUUUGGCUGAUCUGGCUGGCUAGUUGGGUUCCCCUCCUCCCUCGAUGUGCAUCCAUCCUGAAGCUACUUGCCAGAUUGAAGGUCAUGACCUUCCCCCAUAGUGGAGGACUAUUCUUUUAGUGGAGGGUAUGAGUAGCUGAACUCCCCUGCUAGGACCUCCAAAYAAGCUCUCAAGAAUAGCAGCUGUCGGGCUGGGGAUGUGGCUCAAGCGGUAGCGUGCUCGCCUGGCAUGCAUGCGGCCCGGGUUCGA
Molecule: small nuclear RNA, 301 nt
Filed under: Urocitellus parryii (Arctic ground squirrel)
Lineage: Eukaryota; Metazoa; Chordata; Mammalia; Rodentia; Sciuridae
Description: 7SK RNA (ENSUPAG00010022675.1)
Rfam family: 7SK RNA
About the family: 7SK was discovered as an abundant small nuclear RNA in the mid-70s but a possible function has only recently been suggested. Two independent studies have found that 7SK RNA binds the CDK9/cyclin T complex (known as elongation factor P-TEFb).
Source: Rfam by way of RNAcentral